Molecule: ribosomal RNA, 200 nt
Filed under: uncultured bacterium
Lineage: Bacteria
Description: partial 16S ribosomal RNA
Rfam family: Bacterial small subunit ribosomal RNA
Source: RNAcentral
ACGCUCGACACCUACGGGAGCAGCAGUGGGGAAUAUUGGGCAAUGGGCGCAAGCCUGACCCAGCAACGCCGCGUGAAGGAAGAAGGCCCUCGGGUUGUAAACUUCUUUUGACAGGGACGAAACAAAUGACGGUACCUGUCGAAUAAGCCACGGCUAACUACGUGCCAACAGCCGCGGUAAUCUGAGCGGGCUGGCAAGGC